AUUGUUGCUUGGAGAAUUUAUUUCAAAAUCUUUAAAAUUCUAGCUACCAUCCUCAGUGUUUUAUAUGCCUAAUAAAACUGAAAUUAUUAAUUAUGAUUAUAAAAGCUAUCUACUCUAUAUUGAGUUUGUUCAAAAUGAGUUAAACCCUUGUUGAGAGAUUUAUCAUGCUCCUAAGAUCAAGACAUUUAUUCAGAAAGAUUCACUCUUCCGAAGUAUUAUUGUAUUAGAGGCAUGAGCUAUGCAAAAAUAAAGAUAUUUUGAGGAAAUAAAAAGGAGCAAGUGCUCGACAACCUCGCAGAAAAAAUGGACAAGUGUCCGGC
This 320-nucleotide long non-coding RNA is filed under the name Sorghum bicolor (sorghum). Its description in RNAcentral is "long non-coding RNA (SBIC_LNC016251)". The record is from RNAcentral. Lineage: Eukaryota; Viridiplantae; Streptophyta; Magnoliopsida; Poales; Poaceae.